UGUGAUGGUGCUGGGUGGCCUCCCCUUGCAGUUCUCUGCAUUGAAAACCUGUUGUUUAGUGCAGCCACCUUCAUUAGCUGCCUUAGCUUCAUCUCCUGGAGCACUUGCAGCAGCCUCUGGGUCAGCUCUUCCCGCCUUACCUUGCACAGAGGGUAAAAAGAAAAUGCAAGACCACCAUGCUGCAUCGGGAUCUCUGAAAGAACGUGAGGAAGACGGUUUCCAAAGGCAGGUGAAGAAAGUACGCGCCCUUGAUGAAAUCAGUGGACAGAGAACUAUGGACACUGAAGGGAAGGUGGACAUGAACGGAUGUGAGCUGGUGGGAAAGCAGCAGCUGUUGGCAGCAAAGGAGGAGGCAAAAUUGGCUGAAGAGGAGACAAGGUGAUACAAGUGAGUUCAGCUCCUCUGCACCUGCGGCUCUGAAAACACCCGUUGGAUUUUUUGAAAACUUUUCUAAAAUGUUUAGACACAAUAUCAUAAACCGACCCAAACAAAAGACAUUUGUAUACAUGGCUUCACACAGGAGGAAAAGUGUUAAGUUUUACACAUGUUAAGUUAAACGUUUAACUUUAAAAAGUAUUAAGUUACUAAGAAUU
Long non-coding RNA from Camelus dromedarius (Arabian camel), 593 nucleotides. RefSeq lists it as uncharacterized. The transcript is spliced from 3 exons. Lineage: Eukaryota; Metazoa; Chordata; Mammalia; Artiodactyla; Camelidae. The record is from RefSeq and is a predicted model, not a curated record.